Molecule: ribosomal RNA, 544 nt
Filed under: uncultured Glomeromycotina
Lineage: Eukaryota; Fungi; Glomeromycota
Description: SSU rRNA
Rfam family: Eukaryotic small subunit ribosomal RNA
Source: RNAcentral
UUGGAGGGCAAGUCUGGUGCCCGCAGCCGCGGUAAUUCCAGCUCCAAUAGCGUAUAUUAAAGUUGUUGCAGUUAAAAAGCUCGUAGUUGAAUUUCGGGGUUCUACCGUUGGUCGGGCUUUGUCUGUACUGGUGUGUAGAAUUUCUACCUUCUGGGGAACCAUCAUGCUAUUAAUUUAGCGUGGUGGGAAACCAGGACCUUUACCUUGAAAAAAUUAGUGUGUUCAAAGCAGGCUUAUGUCUGAAUACAUUAGCGUGGAAUAAUAGAAUAGGACGGUGGUCCUGUUUUGUUGGUUUCUGAAUCACCGUAAUGAUUAAUAGGGAUAGUUGGGGGCAUUAGUAUUCAAUUGUCAGAGGUGAAAUUCUUGGAUUUAUUGAAGACUAACUUCUGCGAAAGCAUUUGCCAAGGAUGUUUUCAUUAAUCAAGAACGAAAGUUAGGGGAUCGAAGACGAUCAGAUACCGUCGUAGUCUUAACCGUAAACUAUGCCGACUAGGGAUCGGACGAUGUUAAUUUUUCUUGACUCGUUCGGCGCCUUACGGGAAAC